This is a long non-coding RNA of Suricata suricatta (meerkat), 1803 nucleotides long. RefSeq lists it as uncharacterized. The record is from RefSeq and is a predicted model, not a curated record. The transcript is spliced from 3 exons. NCBI's taxonomy places the organism in Eukaryota, Metazoa, Chordata, Mammalia, Carnivora, Herpestidae.
AGCUGGCUGUGAGUCAGUGACGGGUCACUGGCCACAGCAGGGCUGUUGGAGACAGGGCAGACCCAGAGCACGGACCGAAGACAAGUCCAACCUGGUUCCAGCCUCAGGGGCCUCAAGGCGCUGUGUGUUCUUUCCAGUCCCCAUCUCAAUGCUAUCGCACUCCAGCUAGAAAGUGCUCCAUCUCUGUCUCCCUGAGCAGAACAUCCCUUUCUUGAUCAGCUCUGCCAGCCCUGGCCCCUGCGUUGCUCACCUCACACCCAGUGGACCCCUCCCCUGAGUCAGGGGUGCAAAGGAGGCAGGGUCUGUUCAGAGGCUAGCUUCUGCUGCUGACUUGAAGUGUGCAAGGCCACGUUCCCGUGAAUGUGCCAGCACAGGGUUUGCACGGCCCGUCUGCACAUCCUGGACAAGGUACUGGCAGAAUGUGAGUACCACGAGGACAGAGACAUUGGCUGAUGUUUCCACUCCUGUAGCCCCAGUGCCCAGAGCCAUGCCUGGCACAGAAGAGAGAUCCAGAAGUUUCCAAGGCCAAGGCAGUGAAGUCUCUGGGGGAUAAAUGCCAGCGUGUGUGUGUGUGUGUGUGUGUGUGUGUGUGUGUGUGCGUGCGCGUGCACGCGUUUGGGACAGAGACCUGUGAGGUUCCCUGAGGGAAAUUGGGAACAAUGGUCUCCCCACGGCUGUGGCUUCCCAGGCUUCCUGGAUGUGUAAGUGAGGAGGCAGCACCUCCUUUGUCUGGUGACCUGGGGUGGCUGGGCUGAACACCAGCCUCUCUCAGCACCCCUGAGCACAGUCCAUCUGUCCCCAAGGAGGGACUGGGGUGCUUCGGCUCUUACCCCACUUUGGAGGGACCUCAGGCCCAGGCCUCCCUCUUAUCGGUGCCAUUUUUCUUCCUUCUGUGGCAUCUGCUGCCCUCCUUACCCCGCCUUCCUGUCACCAGUGCCUGAUGGGCCCCCUCCUGCCUGCAUUGUUGGCACCAAAUUCUCACACUUGUGGCUUUAGUGGUGCUGUAGGGUUCCCCGUGUCUCCUCAAGUGGGGUAGUGUACCCACCUCGGGCUUCCUGGUGCUCAGCCCCCCACUGCUGCCACUCUGGUCCUUGUCCUAGGCUCAGUGAGAGGGAUUCCAGAAAAAAAGCUGCAGAGGCUCCUGCUGGAACCACUGCCCCUCCUGCUGGGGAAGGGCUCUCUCCUUCUCCACUUGUCCCGCUCUCCCCGCAGCUGAGGGGCCAGCGCCAGAGACGCCUGCUUGACUUCUGGCUGGGAUACAGGGACUGGUAGGGAGGGUUUGCGUAGACUCAGCUUUGGAUCCAGGCCCCCUGCCCAGCCUCAGUGGGGUUACCCCGUGUUGAAAGGAUGCCCCCAUCUGUCCAAGCCCCCCACCCUGUUUCCUGCUCCCUAUACCUGGAAGGCCCACAACCACUGCCCCAUCCUCAGAGCUCUCAGGACCCCCAGUUCUAGAGCUCCCAGCCCUGGCAGGACCCCAGAAUAUUCACAAGGGAAGGAUUUCAGGGUUCAGAGGUUUAAGUAUGUUGUAUGGAGUGCCCUGGGGCUGAUCUGUGUGUGUGUGCACGUGUGUGUGUGACGGACUGGGGGCCCCUACUCCUAUGUUGACCAUAGAACCCAGAACUUUUUUUGCGUUACCAAUGGAAAUAUUACAUAAAUUACCACUUAAAGAAAAGAAUCCAUUAUUUAAAAAAUGUUUGAAAACCAAGAAAACUGGACAAAACUCAUUUUGCAUCCUGGGAAACUGAGGCCCAGAGGAGGACAUGGCUUCUCAAGGUCACAGUGGGAUCAGGGGCAAAGCUGGUA